AGUGAACGCUGGCGGUAGGCCUAACACAUGCAAGUCGAACGGCAGCACAGUAAGAGCUUGCUCUUACGGGUGGCGAGUGGCGGACGGGUGAGGAAUACAUCGGAAUCUACUUUUUCGUGGGGGAUAACGUAGGGAAACUUACGCUAAUACCGCAUACGACCUACGGGUGAAAGCAGGGGAUCUUCGGACCUUGCGCGAUUGAAUGAGCCGAUGUCGGAUUAGCUAGUUGGCGGGGUAAAGGCCCACCAAGGCGACGAUCCGUAGCUGGUCUGAGAGGAUGAUCAGCCACACUGGAACUGAGACACGGUCCAGACUCCUACGGGAGGCAGCAGUAGGGAAUAUUGGACAAUGGGCGCAAGCCUGAUCCAGCCAUACCGCGUGGGUGAAGAAGGCCUUCGGGUUGUAAAGCCCUCUUGUUGGGAAAGAAAAGCAGCAGGUUAAUACCCCGCUGUUCUGACGGUACCCAAAGAAUAAGCACCGGCUAACUUCGUG
This 492-nucleotide ribosomal RNA is filed under the name uncultured bacterium. Its description in RNAcentral is "partial 16S ribosomal RNA". It matches the Rfam family "Bacterial small subunit ribosomal RNA", at positions 29 to 507 of the family's 1533-position model. The record is from RNAcentral.